UUYGGGCCGAGGGCACGCCUGCCUGGGCGUCACAC
This 35-nucleotide ribosomal RNA is filed under the name Chaenomeles cathayensis (Chinese flowering quince). RNAcentral describes it as "partial 5.8S rRNA". Lineage: Eukaryota; Viridiplantae; Streptophyta; Magnoliopsida; Rosales; Rosaceae. The record is from RNAcentral.